Molecule: ribosomal RNA, 429 nt
Filed under: uncultured bacterium
Lineage: Bacteria
Description: bacterial SSU rRNA
Rfam family: Bacterial small subunit ribosomal RNA
Source: RNAcentral
UGGGGAAUAUUGCGCAAUGGACGAAAGUCUGACGCAGCGACGCCGCGUGAGGGAUGAAGGUCUUUGGAUCGUAAACCUCUGUCGGGAGGGAAGAAGGCGCAUGGUGCCAAUCAGCCAUGCGUUGACGGUACCUCCAAAGGAAGCGCCGGCUAACUCCGUGCCAGCAGCCGCGGUAAUACGGAGGGCGCAAGCGUUAAUCGGAAUUACUGGGCGUAAAGCGCGCGUAGGCUGUUACGCAAGUCAGGGGUGAAAGCCCGCGGCUCAACCGCGGAACUGCCCUUGAAACUGCGCGACUUGAAUCCGGGAGAGGGUGGCGGAAUUCCAGGUGUAGGAGUGAAAUCCGUAGAUAUCUGGAGGAACACCAGUGGCGAAGGCGGCCACCUGGACCGGUAUUGACGCUGAGGCGCGAAAGCGUGGGGAGCAAACAGG